Molecule: transfer RNA, 72 nt
Filed under: Camelus bactrianus (Bactrian camel)
Lineage: Eukaryota; Metazoa; Chordata; Mammalia; Artiodactyla; Camelidae
Also listed under: 1 other name
Rfam family: tRNA
About the family: Transfer RNA (tRNA) molecules are approximately 80 nucleotides in length. Their secondary structure includes four short double-helical elements and three loops (D, anti-codon, and T loops).
Source: Rfam by way of RNAcentral
GGGGGUAUAGCUCAGUGGUAGAGUGCAUGCUUGGCGUACGUGGGGUCCUGGGUUUAAUCCCCAGUGACUUCA